Molecule: long non-coding RNA, 252 nt
Filed under: Elaeis guineensis (African oil palm)
Lineage: Eukaryota; Viridiplantae; Streptophyta; Magnoliopsida; Arecales; Arecaceae
Description: long non-coding RNA (EGUI_LNC069493)
Source: RNAcentral
GAACUUUCUGUCAAGAGAUAAUAUUCUCUAUACCUCUUCCCCUUCAUCACAACCUUACUACCAUGCAAAACUCUUAGGAUUCCAUCAUUAGCUCUCUACUUGUAGCUGCUUGAAUUCAGUCUGCUCAGUUAAAUUAGAUUAUUCCUAAAAUUGGAUAUGUAUCAGAUCUUACCCAAUUUCUUCAUUACUUCAUCAUGAGUCUGUAAGCUAACAGUCCUAAUACACUUGAUCGCACAGCUCGAUCCAUCCGAC